UCUCUACUCAUUUGUCAGUUAUCUUUGUUUCUUCUAAUGCAGCAUGUAACUGAAAGGUCUGGCCUUGGGUCAAAUGUGCAGAUGAUGUAAUGAGCCAAAAGCUAGACGUUAAGUUGGUUAAUAGACGAAUCGAAGAUCUUAUACACAGGGAGUACUUAGAGAGGGAGAAAGAUAAUACUAGUGGAAUUAGAUACAUCACUUGAAUUGUUAUCCAAAAUGGGCUCCACAUAAGUGUACAUAGUGAUUUUAUCAAGUGUUUUCAUCUCAAGAUUUAGGAUUUUGUGGAGAGCUCCAGGAUUUCCAUUGUAGCAGCUGCGGUGUUUCUUAGUAAAUUAUACAAAAACUAUCUUGGUAUUAUUAGGAGUUACGGAGGGAGUCUUGGUUCUCAAUCAUCUUCCAUAAA
Long non-coding RNA from Magnolia sinica, 403 nucleotides. RefSeq lists it as uncharacterized. NCBI's taxonomy places the organism in Eukaryota, Viridiplantae, Streptophyta, Magnoliopsida, Magnoliales, Magnoliaceae. The record is from RefSeq and is a predicted model, not a curated record. The transcript has 2 exons.